Molecule: small RNA, 480 nt
Filed under: Histoplasma ohiense
Lineage: Eukaryota; Fungi; Ascomycota; Eurotiomycetes; Onygenales; Ajellomycetaceae
Description: hypothetical lncRNA
Source: RNAcentral
CAUUCUUAGUUGAUCGUGAAACCAUCGAACACAUAACAAGAAAAAGAAACCCAUAUAUCUCUCAUAUCUAGUAAACCCUCCGCUCAACCCUGAAUACAACACCAAGAGACGUUUGGAUUUUCGGAAAAGAUAGUGGUUAGCUUCAAUCCUCCAAAGGGAUAUACUGAUUCAAAAAGGAGGGGCGAAGGAAUAUCGAAAGCCAUCCUGAACAGCACCCAAUCCUGAAAAAGGCGAGUUUUCUUCUUGAAGCCAGAGCAACAAGAUACAUUACCCAAAUGUUGAUGGUGAGAACUCAGAGAGAAUCCUCGACAUCCGAAAACAACUUAGACAUAAUGGAUCAGCACUCCAAGUUGGCAGAUAAUAAUAAUGGCAUGAACAACCAGCAUCGCGAUUUGACCAAGGCCACCACCCCACACCGGGCCGAAAAGGAGGAUGACAAAAACAAAGUCCUACUAGACAAAGAUGCUGCUAAGUCUUCCU